Non-coding RNA from Tetraodon nigroviridis (spotted green pufferfish), 72 nucleotides. Lineage: Eukaryota; Metazoa; Chordata; Actinopteri; Tetraodontiformes; Tetraodontidae. The record is from Rfam.
GGCUCGUUGGUCUAGGAGUAUGGUUCUCGCUUUGGGUGCGAGAUGUCCCGGGUUCAAAUCCCGGACGAGCCC